Molecule: transfer-messenger RNA, 353 nt
Filed under: Pectinatus brassicae
Lineage: Bacteria; Bacillati; Bacillota; Negativicutes; Selenomonadales; Selenomonadaceae
Description: Standard tmRNA
Rfam family: transfer-messenger RNA
About the family: Bacterial tmRNA, also known as 10Sa RNA or SsrA, is named for its dual tRNA and mRNA-like properties.
Source: Rfam by way of RNAcentral
GGGGACGUAAUGGUUUCGACGGGGGCAGCUGAUGCAUGAGAAGCGAGCCGGGGGGUCAUCAACCCGUCAGUAAGGUGAAACUAACUUUUAUAAAUAUAAAAGCUAACGAAAAUUACGCUUUAGCAGCUUAAUGCUAACCUCUUUUGUUUCUUUUCCCGCAUGAAGCAAAAAGAGGACAAUAGCGGGAUACUUUAUAAUUAAUUCUCGGAAAUUAUAAAGGAAUUUUAUCGAGAUAGGUUAACAAGGGUUUGUUUGUGUAGCUUUAUUAACUAAAAUUAAAACACAAAAUGCGCUCGGAGAAACUUGUGCAGCAAUGUUUUCGGACAGGAGUUCGAUUCUCCUCGUCUCCACCA